UUGGAGAAGCACUUGCAGGGCAUUAUAUUUACUUUACGGGGAAGCAAAAAAGUUAGUGCUAGUCUCUCUGGUUCCUUCAUAUUCUGCAGUCUCCCACCCUCAAGCCUCUUCUUCUCAUAAACGAAAGCGAAGACGCACCUCCACAAAACUCUCGUCCAAGCCAUUGCGCUAGGAGCAAUUUGGGUUUCGAGGAGAAGAUGAAAAAAGGAAUUCAUCCACAGCGUCAAUGGAUUUCCUACGUAACCCAGAGUGGGCGAUUGAUCAACGUUAUGAUGACAAAAAUACACCAAGUUGUUAAAGUCUAUCACAUAAGGGGUAGACAGGAGAGGACCGAAGGCAUUGGCCAGAUUGCAAAAUUUAAGCGUCGUUAUGAACAACAGAAGGUAGAGGAAACAGAAGAGAAGUAAAUCCUUUCACUUGCAGGAGCAAUGAUACAUUUCUAUGUUUUCCCUGAACCAAAUAUGGAAUGCCUUGUUUUCAUUUGUCAUUACACUAUCGUGCAUGGUAGCACAUAUGCUUCAUCAUUUCUUUUCCAUAAUUGACAACUUUUAAUGGUUUCUUAUGGACAUUGAUGGGUAAUAUUUCACAGAAUGGAUACCAAGGGCUUCAGUAUCUGCUGGUUGUCCUUUCAUCUUCUUUGCAAUUGUUAUUGUUUUCUUUUGGAUCUUAACGGUAUUCUCUGCCAAGUUGAAUUAAGGAUAUAUGACAAAUGUACCUUUGAUUA
This is a long non-coding RNA of Coffea arabica (coffee), 724 nucleotides long. RefSeq lists it as uncharacterized. NCBI's taxonomy places the organism in Eukaryota, Viridiplantae, Streptophyta, Magnoliopsida, Gentianales, Rubiaceae. The record is from RefSeq and is a predicted model, not a curated record.